This 311-nucleotide ribosomal RNA is filed under the name uncultured bacterium. Its description in RNAcentral is "bacterial SSU rRNA". It matches the Rfam family "Bacterial small subunit ribosomal RNA", at positions 28 to 334 of the family's 1533-position model. The record is from RNAcentral.
GACGAACGCUGGCGGCGUGCCUAACACAUGCAAGUCGAACGGAGUUAAGAGAGCUUGCUUUCUUGACUUAGUGGCGGACUGGUGAGUAACGCGUGAGGAACCUGCCUUUCAGAGGGGGACAACAGUCGGAAACGACUGCUAAUACCGCAUAAUGCAUCAAUUUCGCAUGUUAUUGAUGCCAAAGGAGCAAUCCGCCUUUAGAUGAGCUCGCGUCUGAUUAGCUAGUUGGCGGGGUAACGGCCCACCAAAGCGACGAUCAGUAGCCGGCCUGAGAGGGUGAACGGCCACAUUGGGACUGAGACACGGCCCAA